UAGGGAAUCUUCCACAAUGGACGAAAGUCUGAUGGAGCAACACCGCGUGAGUGAAGAAGGGUUUCGGCUCGUAAAACUCUGUUGUUAAAGAAGAACAUAUCUGAGAGUAACUGUUCAGGUAUUGACGGUAUUUAACCAGAAAGCCACGGCUAACUACGUGCCGG
RNAcentral lists this ribosomal RNA (164 nucleotides) under uncultured bacterium. RNAcentral's name for it is "partial 16S ribosomal RNA". It matches the Rfam family "Bacterial small subunit ribosomal RNA", at positions 355 to 511 of the family's 1533-position model. The record is from RNAcentral.